This 1831-nucleotide long non-coding RNA is filed under the name Homo sapiens (human). Its description in RNAcentral is "BST2 interferon stimulated positive regulator". Lineage: Eukaryota; Metazoa; Chordata; Mammalia; Primates; Hominidae. The record is from RNAcentral.
AGCUCUUGCAUGAGGCACCUACAGGCAGAGGAUUAAUUAGGUUUUCAGUUUCAGUUUCCCAGAAAGGAGGUGGGCUUUUUUUUCACCCUGCUUUAAAAGCCCUUGGGCCCUUCCCAGCUGGGUGCCAGCCAACUGUGGCUGCCUGGGACACUCCAUCUUAAGUCCCUGUGCCUCUGCUGUGUGUUACUGAGUGCCUAGGCCGUGCCAGCCUGUAUUCAUCUGUACUAUGACCUGAAGAGGCAGAGGCCAUCACUGUUGGUCCGGUCUCCACCUGGGGAAACUGAGGUGUCUCUGUGGUGACGAGCAGGGCUUCAUCCAGUGCCUCUGUCCCCACCGAGGGGACUAUGGGAGACAUGGAGGGUGUGUGAGCAACAGGUGAGACUGGAGCCAGCUGAAAACUGGGAGACCGACCCAGCCAACAAACAAUGUCGGUCUCUGUCUUGGCACCUGCAGGAAACAAGCUCCUACUUCCAGAAAAAGUGCUCCUGGGACUCCAGGAUACCAGAUCCUUCCCUGGCACCGGUUCCAGGAGGACCUCGUUCUUAGGCAGCAUCUGUGUCUCUGUUUUGUAAGACACACAGAGUAUCCUUAACCCACUGCAGAUAUUUCCCUGGGUCCAUGGUCAAUCAACACCACCUUUCAGUCUCCAGCCUCUUAACCAGCCCAGGGCUGAGUGUUGUUUAUAGUAUUAAUAUGUUUCUGGCUGGGCUCAGUGGCUCAUGCCUGUAAUCCCGGCACUAUGGGAGGCUGAGGCAGGCGGAUCACUUGAGGUCAGGAGUUCAAGACCAGCCUGGCCAACAUAGUAAAACCCCGUCUCUACUAAAAAUACAAAAAUGAGCCGGGUGUGGUGGCGUGUGUCUAUAAUCCCAGCUACUCGGGAGGCUGAGGCAGGAGAAUUGCUUGAACCUGGGAGGUGGAGGCUACAGUGAGCUGAGAUCAUGCCACUGCACUCCAGCCUGGGCAAGAAAGUGAGACUCCAUCUCAAAACAAAGAAACAAACAAAGUAUUAAUAUGUUCCCCUUGAUCAGUGGGGUGGUUCACCCUUGUAAUCCCAGCACUUUGGGAGGCAGAGGCUGGCGGAUCGCUUGAGUCCAGGAGUUCGAGACCAGCCUGGGUGAACUAGCAAAACCCUGCCUGUACUAAAAAUACAAAAAUUAACUGGGCUUGGUGGUGCGAGCCUGUAAUCCCAGUGGAGGCUGAGACAGGAGAAUCCUUUUGUAAUGCCUGACCUUGUUUUUUUACUAACCCUAUUUUAACCUUGUUUUUACUAACCCUAUUUUUAAAUUUUCCCUUUUUGUCUCCUUAAUUACCUAGCCUUGUUUCCCAUAUGAGUAGACUCUCCCUUAGCUGGGAAAGCCUGACGAACGCCAUCUGGCCCCUUGAUUUACAAGACAUUAAGGGCUACUUACCCAACCCCCUUCCUCAAAGAGUUAACCUGCGUAAGCAGAUCCUCAGCAUUUCAAAGGAGCCCAAUUAGCUGAUAAGGUACUGGAACAAACAAUGUACGAAGUUCCCAGGAUUUUGCUCAAAAGCAUAACAACAUAAAGCCUUGAGUCUGUGUCUGGCAUAGCAUCCAUAUCUAACUCUUAUGAAGGAUUUAGAGCCCGGCACCUGGUUCCGUUGCUUUUUUUGUAACCAUUUGUCUUUUAAAUUGUUUAUUUCUCUGUAACCAUUUGUUUUUUGAUUCUUGCAUGUUUUUACUUCUGUAGAAUUAUUGCAUUUGAGCUCCGCUCCCCUUCCGAACCAAGGUAUAAAAGUAAAUCAAGCCCCUUCCUCGGGGCCGAGAGAAUUUUGGAAAGUCAAGCCUUCUCUUGGCUGCCGGCUUAAAUAA